This 492-nucleotide ribosomal RNA is filed under the name uncultured bacterium. RNAcentral's name for it is "partial 16S ribosomal RNA". It matches the Rfam family "Bacterial small subunit ribosomal RNA", at positions 29 to 507 of the family's 1533-position model. The record is from RNAcentral.
AGUGAACGCUGGCGGUAGGCCUAACACAUGCAAGUCGAACGGCAGCACAGUAAGAGCUUGCUCUUACGGUUGGCGAGUGGCGGACGGGUGACGAAUACAUCGGAAUCUACUUUUACGUGGGGGAUAACGUAGGGAAACUUACGCUAAUACCGCAUACGACCUACGGGUUAAAGCAGGGGAUCUUCGGACCUUUCGCGAUUGAAUGAGCCGACGUCGGAUUAGCUAGUUGGCGGGGUAAAGUCCCACCAAGGCGACGAUCCGUAGCUGGUCUGAGAGGAUGAUCAGCCACACUGGAACUGAGACACGGUCCAGACUCCUACGGGAGGCAGCAGUGGGGAAUAUUGGACAAUGGGCGCAAGCCUGAUCCAGCCAUACCGCGUGGGUGAAGAAGGCCUUCGGGUUGUAAAGCCCUUUUGUUGGGAAAGAAAAGCAGCAGGUUAAUACCUGGCUGUUUUGACGGUACCCAAAGAAUAAGCACCGGCUAACUUCGUG